GAUGAACGCUAGCGACAUUCUUAACACAUGCAAGUCGAGGGGCAGCACAGGUAGCAAUACCGGGUGGCGACCGGCGCACGGGUGAGUAACGCGUAUGCAACUUACCUAUCAGAGGGGGAUAACCCGGCGAAAGUCGGACUAAUACCGCAUGAAGCAGGGGCCCCGCAUGGGGAUAUUUGCUAAAGAUUCAUCGCUGAUAGAUAGGCAUGCGUUCCAUUAGGCAGUUGGCGGGGUAACGGCCCACCAAGCCGACGAUGGAUAGGGGUUCUGAGAGGAAGGUCCCCCACAUUGGUACUGAGACACGGACCAAACUCCUACGGGAGGCAGCAGUGAGGAAUAUUGGUCAAUGGGCGUAAGCCUGAACCAGCCAAGUCGCGUGAGGGAUGAAGGUUCUAUGGAUCGUAAACCUCUUUUAUAAGGGAAUAAAGUGCGGGACGUGUCCCGUUUUGUAUGUACCUUAUGAAUAAGGAUCGGCUAACUCCGUGCCAGCAGCCGCGGUAAUACGGAGGAUCCGAGCGUUAUCCGGAUUUAUUGGGUUUAAAGGGUGCGUAGGCGGCCUUUUAAGUCAGCGGUGAAAGUCUGUGGCUCAACCAUAGAAUUGCCGUUGAAACUGGGGGGCUUGAGUAUGUUUGAGGCAGGCGGAAUGCGUGGUGUAGCGGUGAAAUGCUUAGAUAUCACGCAGAACCCCGAUUGCGAAGGCAGCCUGCCAAGCCAUGACUGACGCUGAUGCACGAAAGCGUGGGGAUCAAACAGG
RNAcentral lists this ribosomal RNA (754 nucleotides) under uncultured bacterium. Its description in RNAcentral is "bacterial SSU rRNA". It matches the Rfam family "Bacterial small subunit ribosomal RNA", at positions 28 to 776 of the family's 1533-position model. The record is from RNAcentral.